GGUUUUGUGGCUGAGUUGGUUAAAGCGCCGUCUUUGUAAGACGGAGGUCGAGAGUUCGAUCCUCUCCUAAACCU
Molecule: non-coding RNA, 74 nt
Organism: Myzus persicae (green peach aphid)
Lineage: Eukaryota; Metazoa; Arthropoda; Insecta; Hemiptera; Aphididae
Source: the annotation of a RefSeq genome assembly